GUGCUCACUUUGGCAGCACAUAUAUAAAAUUGGAACGACACAGAAAUUAGGAUGGACCCUGCACCAUGACAAAUUCAUGAAGUAUUCCAUAUUUAA
RNAcentral lists this small nuclear RNA (96 nucleotides) under Castor canadensis (American beaver). The record is from RNAcentral. Lineage: Eukaryota; Metazoa; Chordata; Mammalia; Rodentia; Castoridae.